UGAUCCUGGCUCAGGAUGAACGCUAGCGGCAGGCUUAACACAUGCAAGUCGAGGGGUAACAUUUUAGCUUGCUAAAGAUGACGACCGGCGCACGGGUGCGUAACGCGUAUAGAACCUACCACAAACAGGAGGAUACCCUUUGGAAACGAAGAUUAAUACUCCAUAGUGUUAUAGACUGGCAUCGGUUUAUGAUUAAAGAUUUAUUGGUUUGUGAUGGCUAUGCGUCCUAUUAGUUAGUUGGUAAGGUAACGGCUUACCAAGACAUCGAUAGGUAGGGGUCCUGAGAGGGAGAUCCCCCACACUGGUACUGAGACACGGACCAGACUCCUACGGGAGGCAGCAGUGAGGAAUAUUGGACAAUGGAGGCAACUCUGAUCCAGCCAUGCCGCGUGAAGGAUGACUGCCCUAUGGGUUGUAAACUUCUUUUAUAUGGGAAGAACUGCAGAUACGUGUAUUUGUUUGACGGUACCAUACGAAUAAGGACCGGCUAACUCCGUGCCAGCAGCCGCGGUAAUACGGAGGGUCCAAGCGUUAUCCGGAAUCAUUGGGUUUAAAGGGUUCGUAGGCGGGCUAAUCAGUCAGAGGUGAAAUCCAGCAGCUUAACUGUUGAACUGCCUUUGAUACUGUUAGUCUUGAGUCAUAUGGAAGUAGAUAGAAUAUGUAGUGUAGCGGUGAAAUGCAUAGAUAUUACAUAGAAUACCGAUUGCGAAGGCAGUCUACUACGUAUUGACUGACGCUGAUGAACGAAAGCGUGGGGAGCGAACGGGAUUAGAUACCCCGGUAGU
RNAcentral lists this ribosomal RNA (785 nucleotides) under uncultured marine bacterium. Its description in RNAcentral is "bacterial SSU rRNA". It matches the Rfam family "Bacterial small subunit ribosomal RNA", at positions 14 to 794 of the family's 1533-position model. The record is from RNAcentral.